UACGUAGGGUACAAGCGUUGUCCGGAAUUAUUGGGCGUAAAGAGCUCGUAGGCGGUUCGUCGCGUCGGCUGUGAAAACCCGGAGCUCAACUCCGGGCCUGCAGUCGAUACGGGCGGACUUGAGUGUUGCAGGGGAGACUGGAAUUCCUGGUGUAGCGGUGAAAUGCGCAGAUAUCAGGAGGAACACCGGUGGCGAAGGCGGGUCUCUGGGCAACUACUGACGCUGAGGAGCGAAAGCGUGGGGAGCGAACAGG
RNAcentral lists this ribosomal RNA (253 nucleotides) under uncultured bacterium. RNAcentral describes it as "partial 16S ribosomal RNA". It matches the Rfam family "Bacterial small subunit ribosomal RNA", at positions 524 to 776 of the family's 1533-position model. The record is from RNAcentral.